This 801-nucleotide unclassified non-coding RNA is filed under the name Hevea brasiliensis (rubber tree). Lineage: Eukaryota; Viridiplantae; Streptophyta; Magnoliopsida; Malpighiales; Euphorbiaceae. The record is from RNAcentral.
CUAGAAGUGAGUGUUGGGAGUCAAAUUUGAGACCUGUCAAAUUGAAUGAAUCUCUCUUACCCCCUCAAUCAACCCCCUGGUAGCAUUAUUUCUUUUAAACUUUCUUGAUAUAAUUAGGAAGAAAAGGAAAGGGAAACUGCAAUCAUUUUCUUUGAUCACCAAACAUAAAACAAAGCAAAUACAUGGCAGGUGUAAGCGAUGCAUGCCCAGCGGCAUUAAACAUUUCGCACCCCGAAAUUCAACCUCACAUUCAACACCCUUCUACCAAAACUUACCCUAGCUAGCUGCCUCGUAUGCAUCUCUUACAUCCCAUGUUUUAUUACAAGAACCAGGCAAAGGGGAAAAACGCAAAGAUGUAAAUAAAUAGAAAGACGUAAGGUUAAACAAGGAAUAAAAAGAAAAUUAAAAAGACCUAACGUUAAGGUAAAUCGGACCGGUACCCUCAAUUCCCCGCGAUGCAAUAAUGUCACUCUCCCAAUUCUGCCCUUUUCACUAGGGCAAGAUACUCAGGAGAGUGCAAUUGCAAAGCCUUGUUUCUGUUUUUUUUCUUUUGUUCUGUUGACAUCAUGUUUCGUCCUUAUUUACAAAAGAACCCUCCUUUGCGGUGCCACCACGACCACAACCACCCAGCACUUCCUUUGUAGUCGAUGCCAUAGUUUCUGGACCUCCGCCGGUGGGUGCUUGUCAUCCUGAAUACUACUACCAAGAGAAAGAAAUGCUAUUGCUAAAAUAUUUUUGCUAGAAGCAUAGUUGCUAAGAAGCUAGCUAGCUAAGAAAAAGUAGAAAAGAGAGAGUUAGAUC